This is a long non-coding RNA of Oncorhynchus keta (chum salmon), 1003 nucleotides long. RefSeq lists it as uncharacterized. Lineage: Eukaryota; Metazoa; Chordata; Actinopteri; Salmoniformes; Salmonidae. The transcript has 2 exons. The record is from RefSeq and is a predicted model, not a curated record.
AGAAACACUGGCCACUCAGAUUAGAACACGUUUCUGUUUGCAAUCACAGCUUUUCUGUCGCUUAAAGGGUGUUUUAAGACAUUAAAAGUACAAGGAAAAUGUAGCAGAUGGGCGAUAAUGCGCGUAGCGGUGAGUUGGCUAAACCAACAUCUCCAUUGCACUUUUCUUUCUGGAAUUUAUGUGUGCUUGUUUACAAAAGUCCAUAUUUUCGUUGGAGCAAACAUUUGGGUUUGUUGGAGGUGAGAAGAGUACGCAAAGGACGGGGCUGCUGAGGAGGAGAAGGAUGGCUUUUGGGAAUUACGCAUAGGCUUUGUCUGCAAGGCAAGGAGUGGGUGGCGGCUUUCUGUGAACCCUACUCCGACCUACACACAUUUUUUACAGGGUUAUUCUGAGGGAAUGAUUUAGGACCCCUUUCCCACGGAUGGAAAUACAAUGAACAACAAUUCAUUUUUUUCAAAACAAAAAGUUAUUUAUGAUACUGCAGAAGAUCCUCGUGAAACGUGUGUUAUUAUGGAUGUGCCCAUGCGGAGGAGGAGCGGAACAAGGCCACCGCAAGAGCUUCUGAGUUGCCCACGCGCUAGAGGAGACAAAACAAGAGGCCUACAAUGUUUUCGUGAUUUAUUGUCACUACAAAUUAAAUAUGAUGUUAUAGAUUAUUAAUGGUAUUACAGAUUAUGAGAAAAUGGGGAUAAUGUUGUUUUUAUGAAAUAGCCUACCCUCUAAAGUCCUACCAGUUUUUUUCUACCUCACAAAUUAGGCUAUUUAUGGGAUAUUAAGGUGUUUAUUAUUACUAUUAUUCUUAUUAUUAUUCCUUCCUUAUUGUAGUUUGUGCCGUUGUGUUCUACGUUCAAAUUCCCUCCAAAUUAAGGUUGAAAGAUACAUUUCUAUCGAAAACCAUUUCUUUAUUUAUCCGAACUGCAGCAUGAUGGAAUGUAUGACAUUGAAACAGAAACUUGGUAAUAUCUUAAAUAUUUUUUUUUGCAAUAAAAAAAAUGAUAAUGUC